Cynocephalus volans (Philippine flying lemur) is the source of this 108-nucleotide small nuclear RNA. The record is from RefSeq and is a predicted model, not a curated record. NCBI's taxonomy places the organism in Eukaryota, Metazoa, Chordata, Mammalia, Dermoptera, Cynocephalidae.
GUGCUCGCUUCGGCAGCACAUAUACUAAAAUUGGAACGAUACAGAGAAGAUUAGCAUGGCCCCUGCGCAAGGAUGAAAUAGAGGCUGUGAGGGGUAAAAGUUAACAUA